ACCUACUGCUGCCAAUCUAUCUAUCACUGCUAAUCUAUCACUGCUAAUCUAUCACUGCUAAUCUAUCACUGUCAAUCUACCUACCACUGCCAACCUAUCUACCACUGUCAACCUAUCUAUCACUGCCAAUCUAUAUAGGGUAAAUCAUGGUCCCAUUUGGUCCCAUUUUGUAAAAUGAAACCAAAUGGAACCAGAAUCACUAAUUUAUUAGUAAAACAUGAUCUGAGACUAGAUUUAUAAUAUAAACAGUGUAAAGUGACUAAUUUGCUAAACACUAUAUGAGAUCAGAACUAAGAUAUCUGAUAAUAAAACUGAGGAAAAAUUUGGUCCCAGUCCCAUGCAUGAUCACACAGCCAGUCUAAGUAUAUAUAAAAGACAGUCUGUUUUUAUAUUUCUG
This 397-nucleotide small RNA is filed under the name Histoplasma capsulatum. RNAcentral describes it as "hypothetical RNA". RNAcentral also lists the same sequence under 1 other name. Lineage: Eukaryota; Fungi; Ascomycota; Eurotiomycetes; Onygenales; Ajellomycetaceae. The record is from RNAcentral.